Haliotis rubra (blacklip abalone) is the source of this 1394-nucleotide long non-coding RNA. RefSeq lists it as uncharacterized. The transcript is spliced from 4 exons. The record is from RefSeq and is a predicted model, not a curated record. NCBI's taxonomy places the organism in Eukaryota, Metazoa, Mollusca, Gastropoda, Lepetellida, Haliotidae.
CUUGAGAGGGGGGCGAGGCAAGAAAGGCACUACCAAUCGAAAAGUCGUGAAAAAUCUCCCAUUACAUUCACUAAACGGGUCGCGAAACUAUUUAAGCUACGGUCGUAUGAAUGUUGCCAAAUGUUAAGUCAUAAUCUCUUUCAACUCAUUAAGAUUAGACUGUGACCGGAAUCUCUUCCUUUGGAAAUAACAAUGAUGCGAUCAAUUGAAGAUUUAACACGGCAUUCCCGAGUCAACGCUUCAGGUGUCGAUUACUUGGCGUGUUGCCACCUACCUGCCACCUAGGUACUGAAGUUGUAACAAGGACCUGCCGACGUGCAACAUCAACAACUGCGAUGCCAUAGUCUACAUACCACCUCCUGCUGCAAGCUAGGUUGUCAUAACUUCGUCCAGCUCUUCUCAACGGAAGUCGGAAGCAGUGUGCUGGCCUCAUGGCGAAAAAGUUCGCUCCUCAAACCUGGGCUGAGGAUUAGAUUCCUCACAAAAUCACAGCCAAUGAUAUCCUGGUGACUGCCGUGGCAUGGCGCUGUUAUAUUUGUGAAAGCGGGGUAAAGCCAUAUUCAUUCAUUCUCAGCUUCAUGAUCACGAGAAGCUUGUUGAAACGGGGUGCUUAAUUGUACUUAUCUACCCAAUCUGAGGUUUUCAAAAUCAUUGCGUUUGUACUUCAUUUGGAAGUAAAGAAGACACUAAAGUUUGUUUCUCAGUCGCGAUGAUGUCAGGAACCUUUAUAAUUGUCCUUCUAUGUCUAAUCAAUGUCAGACUCUUACACCUACAAAAGCUUUACCCUUCCAGUGUUUGCCAAAGGUAUACAUAAAUGGAACUGUAACACAUAUAAGCAUAAUAGCUGAUUAGAUAUUUCCACGGAUUUUAAUGAUUUAAAAUGUGUUGCAGAUCACAAUGGAGGUUAGUUUUAUAUUUGAACCCUUGAUGAAGGUUCCCGGCGGAGUGAUGAACCACGUGUACCACUGGACGACGUCACCAAUGUUCCAGCUACGUCGCGUCCGCCUGUAGCUGAAUAGAUCCGGACCAAGCAAACCGGUGACUGAGGAUAUGAGCAAACGUCCACGCCGUCGGCCGCGUUUUGAAAUACAGUUACAUCAAACAACCUUACCAAUCGAUCCCCACUGAAAGGAAAUUGUUGUUUAUUUUUUAGAAAGAAAGAACAAUCGGACUGAAGAAAAGGUUGUUUGAAGUUGCCAGGCUAGGACAUCAUGCAGCACUCACACUUUAUGUAGGUCCAUAUUCUAAUGAACUCAAACAAAGUGAAAAUACAUUGAAUCUUAAUUAAGUUGGUGAAACAAAAUUGAAAUGCCCGCGCGACCGUACACUCAUCGGCGAGUUCCGCCACAUUGCCCUGUGAUGCAAGACAAUAAAGAUGAACGUUUAGACCUUCU